CCUACGGGAGGCAGCAGUAGGGAAUAUUGCUCAAUGGGGGAAACCCUGACGCAGCAACGCCGCGUGGGUGAAGAAGGUUUUCGGAUUGUAAACUCCUUUUGUUAGAGAAGAUAAUGACUGUAUCUAACGAAUAAGCACCGGCUAACUCCGUGCCAGCAGCCGCGCUAAUACGUAGGGUCCAAGCGUUACUCGGAAUCACUGGGCGUAAAGAGCGCGUAGGCGGGUUAGCCAGUCAGAUGUGAAAUCCUAUGGCUUAACCAUGGGAAUGCGUUGGAAACGGUUGAUCUAGAGUGUGGGAGAGGUAGGUGGAAUUCUUGGUGUAGCGGUAAAAUGCGUAGAGAGCAGGAGGAAUACCCAUGGCGAAGGCGGCCUGCUAGAACAUAACUGACGCUGAGGCGCGAAAGCGUGGGGAGCAAACAGGAUUAGAUACCCGGGUAGUC
Molecule: ribosomal RNA, 440 nt
Filed under: uncultured bacterium
Lineage: Bacteria
Description: partial 16S ribosomal RNA
Rfam family: Bacterial small subunit ribosomal RNA
Source: RNAcentral